RNAcentral lists this ribosomal RNA (1658 nucleotides) under Salmonella enterica subsp. enterica serovar Cerro. RNAcentral describes it as "partial 23S ribosomal RNA". It matches the Rfam family "Bacterial large subunit ribosomal RNA", at positions 1292 to 2925 of the family's 2925-position model. The record is from RNAcentral. Lineage: Bacteria; Pseudomonadati; Pseudomonadota; Gammaproteobacteria; Enterobacterales; Enterobacteriaceae.
GAAUGCUGACAUAAGUAACGAUAAAGCGGGUGAAAAGCCCGCUCGCCGGAAGACCAAGGGUUCCUGUCCAACGUUAAUCGGGGCAGGGUGAGUCGACCCCUAAGGCGAGGCCGAAAGGCGUAGUCGAUGGGAAACGGGUUAAUAUUCCCGUACUUGGUGUUACUGCGAAGGGGGGACGGAGAAGGCUAUGUUGGCCGGGCGACGGUUGUCCCGGUUUAAGCGUGUAGGUGUGUGUUCCAGGUAAAUCCGGUUCACUUUAACACUGAGGCGUGACGACGAGGCACUACGGUGCUGAAGCAACAAAUGCCCUGCUUCCAGGAAAAGCCUCUAAGCAUCAGGUAACAUCAAAUCGUACCCCAAACCGACACAGGUGGUCAGGUAGAGAAUACCAAGGCGCUUGAGAGAACUCGGGUGAAGGAACUAGGCAAAAUGGUGCCGUAACUUCGGGAGAAGGCACGCUGACACGUAGGUGAAGUGAUUUACUCAUGGAGCUGAAGUCAGUCGAAGAUACCAGCUGGCUGCAACUGUUUAUUAAAAACACAGCACUGUGCAAACACGAAAGUGGACGUAUACGGUGUGACGCCUGCCCGGUGCCGGAAGGUUAAUUGAUGGGGUCAGCGCAAGCGAAGCUCCUGAUCGAAGCCCCGGUAAACGGCGGCCGUAACUAUAACGGUCCUAAGGUAGCGAAAUUCCUUGUCGGGUAAGUUCCGACCUGCACGAAUGGCGUAAUGAUGGCCAGGCUGUCUCCACCCGAGACUCAGUGAAAUUGAACUCGCUGUGAAGAUGCAGUGUACCCGCGGCAAGACGGAAAGACCCCGUGAACCUUUACUAUAGCUUGACACUGAACAUUGAGCCUUGAUGUGUAGGAUAGGUGGGAGGCUUUGAAGUGUGGACGCCAGUCUGCAUGGAGCCGACCUUGAAAUACCACCCUUUAAUGUUUGAUGUUCUAACGUGGACCCGUAAUCCGGGUUGCGGACAGUGUCUGGUGGGUAGUUUGACUGGGGCGGUCUCCUCCUAAAGAGUAACGGAGGAGCACGAAGGUUGGCUAAUCCUGGUCGGACAUCAGGAGGUUAGUGCAAUGGCAUAAGCCAGCUUGACUGCGAGCGUGACGGCGCGAGCAGGUGCGAAAGCAGGUCAUAGUGAUCCGGUGGUUCUGAAUGGAAGGGCCAUCGCUCAACGGAUAAAAGGUACUCCGGGGAUAACAGGCUGAUACCGCCCAAGAGUUCAUAUCGACGGCGGUGUUUGGCACCUCGAUGUCGGCUCAUCACAUCCUGGGGCUGAAGUAGGUCCCAAGGGUAUGGCUGUUCGCCAUUUAAAGUGGUACGCGAGCUGGGUUUAGAACGUCGUGAGACAGUUCGGUCCCUAUCUGCCGUGGGCGCUGGAGAACUGAGGGGGGCUGCUCCUAGUACGAGAGGACCGGAGUGGACGCAUCACUGGUGUUCGGGUUGUCAUGCCAAUGGCACUGCCCGGUAGCUAAAUGCGGAAGAGAUAAGUGCUGAAAGCAUCUAAGCACGAAACUUGCCCCGAGAUGAGUUCUCCCUGAGACUUUAGGUCUCCUGAAGGAACGUUGAAGACGACGACGUUGAUAGGCCGGGUGUGUAAGCGCAGCGAUGCGUUGAGCUAACCGGUACUAAUGAACCGUGAGGCUUAACCUUACA